RNAcentral lists this ribosomal RNA (253 nucleotides) under uncultured bacterium. Its description in RNAcentral is "partial 16S ribosomal RNA". It matches the Rfam family "Bacterial small subunit ribosomal RNA", at positions 524 to 776 of the family's 1533-position model. The record is from RNAcentral.
UACAGAGGGUGCGAGCGUUGUUCGGAAUUAUUGGGCGUAAAGGGCGCGUAGGCGGCGCCACAAGUCACUUGUGAAAACUCUGGGCUCAACUCAGAGCCUGCAAGCGAAACUGUGGUGCUGGAGUAUGGGAGAGGUGCGUGGAAUUCCCGGUGUAGCGGUGAAAUGCGUAGAGAUGUGGAGGAACACCAGUGGCGAAGGCGACUCUCUGGUCUGUAACUGACGCUGAGGAGCGAAAGCGUGGGGAGCGAACAGG